RNAcentral lists this ribosomal RNA (255 nucleotides) under uncultured bacterium. Its description in RNAcentral is "partial 16S ribosomal RNA". It matches the Rfam family "Bacterial small subunit ribosomal RNA", at positions 524 to 776 of the family's 1533-position model. The record is from RNAcentral.
GACGUAGGGCGCGAGCGUUGUCCGGAUUUAUUGGGCGUAAAGAGCUCGUAGGCGGCUUGUCGCGUCGUCCGUGAAAACUUGGGGCUCAACCCCAAGCUUGCGGUCGAUACGGGCAGGCUAGAGUUCGGUAGGGGAGACUGGAAUUCCUGGUGUAGCGGUGGAAAUGACGCAGAUAUCAGGAGGAACACCGGUGGCGAAGGCGGGUCUCUGGGCCGAUACUGACGCUGAGGCGCGAAAGCGUGGGGAGCAAACAGG